Molecule: ribosomal RNA, 269 nt
Filed under: uncultured prokaryote
Description: partial 16S ribosomal RNA
Rfam family: Bacterial small subunit ribosomal RNA
Source: RNAcentral
UACGUAGGUGGCAAGCGUUAUCCGGAAUUAUUGGGCGUAAAGAGCGCGCAGGUGGUUGAUUAAGUCUGAUGUGAAAGCCCACGGCUUAACCGUGGAGGGUCAUUGGAAACUGGUCGACUUGAGUGCAGAAGAGGGAAGUGGAAUUCCAUGUGUAGCGGUGAAAUGCGUAGAGAUAUGGAGGAACACCAGUGGCGAAGGCGGCUUCCUGGUCUGUAACUGACACUGAGGCGCGAAAGCGUGGGGAGCAAACAGGAUUAGAUACCCCGGUA